RNAcentral lists this ribosomal RNA (646 nucleotides) under Listeria monocytogenes. RNAcentral's name for it is "bacterial SSU rRNA". It matches the Rfam family "Bacterial small subunit ribosomal RNA", at positions 1 to 629 of the family's 1533-position model. Lineage: Bacteria; Bacillati; Bacillota; Bacilli; Caryophanales; Listeriaceae. The record is from RNAcentral.
UUAAAGAGAGUUUGAUCCUGGCUCAGGACGAACGCUGGCGGCGUGCCUAAUACAUGCAAGUCGAACGAACGGAGGAAGAGCUUGCUCUUCCAAAGUUAGUGGCGGACGGGUGAGUAACACGUGGGCAACCUGCCUGUAAGUUGGGGAUAACUCCGGGAAACCGGGGCUAAUACCGAAUGAUAAAGUGUGGCGCAUGCCAUGCUUUUGAAAGAUGGUUUCGGCUAUCGCUUACAGAUGGGCCCGCGGUGCAUUAGCUAGUUGGUAGGGUAAUGGCCUACCAAGGCAACGAUGCAUAGCCGACCUGAGAGGGUGAUCGGCCACACUGGGACUGAGACACGGCCCAGACUCCUACGGGAGGCAGCAGUAGGGAAUCUUCCGCAAUGGACGAAAGUCUGACGGAGCAACGCCGCGUGUAUGAAGAAGGUUUUCGGAUCGUAAAGUACUGUUGUUAGAGAAGAACAAGGAUAAGAGUAACUGCUUGUCCCUUGACGGUAUCUAACCAGAAAGCCACGGCUAACUACGUGCCAGCAGCCGCGGUAAUACGUAGGUGGCAAGCGUUGUCCGGAUUUAUUGGGCGUAAAGCGCGCGCAGGCGGUCUUUUAAGUCUGAUGUGAAAGCCCCCGGCUUAACCGGGGAGGGUCAUUGG